RNAcentral lists this unclassified non-coding RNA (335 nucleotides) under Hevea brasiliensis (rubber tree). Lineage: Eukaryota; Viridiplantae; Streptophyta; Magnoliopsida; Malpighiales; Euphorbiaceae. The record is from RNAcentral.
UGAAAAUGCAAAAGCCACAAGCAAAUCUUCAGUGGAUGGAUGGCGUCACAUAUUGGUUACAAUCUUGAUGGCUAUCAAAAGCGUACCCAAAGUUCCUGCCAUUAGAAGCACCAAUGAUGUCAAGGAAAUCCUGCAAUGUUUGAAGACCAUUGAUAAUUGCAAAAUUCUGGCUUUAGAGGUGCUUUGGACUCCACAGGAUGAGAAUGAUACUUUGUCAGAGCAGGAAUUGCUAACAAAUUACCCAUCUUUGAGGUCAAUAACUACAUCUUGAUGUUAUCCGUUCAGACAUGAUGAAGAAGAUCCCGGUGAACGGCAAUGCCAUAACUCAUAAGGAG